RNAcentral lists this transfer RNA (22 nucleotides) under Isoetes taiwanensis. RNAcentral describes it as "partial tRNA-Ser". RNAcentral also lists the same sequence under 7 other names. The record is from RNAcentral. Lineage: Eukaryota; Viridiplantae; Streptophyta; Lycopodiopsida; Isoetales; Isoetaceae.
GGUUCGAAUCCCUCUCUCUCCU